RNAcentral lists this ribosomal RNA (373 nucleotides) under Sibon irmelindicaprioae. RNAcentral describes it as "partial large subunit ribosomal RNA". It matches the Rfam family "Bacterial large subunit ribosomal RNA", at positions 2006 to 2594 of the family's 2925-position model. Lineage: Eukaryota; Metazoa; Chordata; Lepidosauria; Squamata; Dipsadidae. The record is from RNAcentral.
GCGGGCCUAUCUGUCUCUUACAAUAAAUCAAUUAAACUGAUCUUCUAGUAAAAAAGCUAGAAUCCACACACAAGACCAGAAGACCCUGUGAAGCUUAAACUAAACUAUUAAACCCCAUAAUAUCUACUUUAGGUUGGGGCGACCUUGGAAAAAAAAAGAACUUCCAAACACAUGACCACACUCAUUCAUCAGGCCCACAAGCCUUAUAAAAGACCCAGUACGACUGAUAAUUGAACCAAGUUACUCCAGGGAUAACAGCGCUAUCUUCUUCAAGAGUCCAUAUCAAAAAGAAGGUUUACGACCUCGAUGUUGGAUCAGGACAUCCUAACGGUGCAGUCGCUGUUAAGGGUUCGUUUGUUCAACGAUUAAUAGU